CCAUACCCAAGUAGAAUUACAUUUGUACAAAAACAAUGUGACAUCAGUAUAAUAAUCUAUUGUAUUAUACGACACUAUUACAUUGAUCAGAAGUAGAAAUAAUCAAUAUUUCAAUCUCAAAGUGUUGUAUUAGACCUGUCAAACGGCCGGUCAAGCUCAAACGGGGGUAUGCCAUGUUUGUGUCGAGUCAAAGAUGGGCCGAGCCUAAAGGGCGCAGUUGAAAUGAGAGGGGUAAAUAUAGAAAUGAAAAUGGGCAGCAGCACGUAGACAAAGUUGGAAAUGAAAGGAUAUGGAAAGGGAGAUCAGUCAUUGAUAAACCACUUGAAAAUCAGCACACUCCAACUAUAAGAAGAGCAGAAAUCAGUAAAAUAGAUUAUGUGUUUUGAAGAAAAGAAAGUUACUUGAAACAAAAAUAAACGGUUCAAAUUUUGGAAACAUCAUUAAUAAAUCUAAUGGAAUCAAAUCGCAUGACCAUAGAUUUUGUGUAAAACUUAACAUUCCAUUCCGGCAUGAGCAGUCAAUUUCCCAUGGGCAACCAGAGGUAUAAGAGCCCAAUGCAUCCAUAAAUACAGAUAUCCAAAACAUUUAGGCUGGUUGGCAAAUUAAAAUAGGAUUAAUGGAAAAGGAAAACAAAACAAAAUAAAACGUAAAUAAAAAAAAAGAUGAUGCUAGGAGUAUCAAAUUUUGUCUCAAAAAAAUUCACAAAUAAUGUGUCACCAUAAUCUCAUUUGAUUGGUUAUGCUAUAAAUUAUCAUUAAAAUAUUUAAUGUUGUGUCAUUUGAGACAAAAUUUAAAUCCCUAACAUUACUCAUAAAAAAUAGACCUGCCUGCUAAACAUAAUUCUAACUAUAUCUAGUCUUACAAAUAUAUCCUUUUGACAUCAUUACCUUUUCAUUUUUAUUUUUACUUCCACCCUCAUAUUUACUAAAUUUCAAACACAGCCCAAGAAAUCAGUAAAACCAACAACCCACUAUCCUAAUUCACGAACCACCAUAUCAAUAGUACUCUCUCUUUAAAUCUCUCUUUAAACUUUGAUAAAGCACCCAUCAAGUCGCAUAACUUUUCUUUCUAAAGUCAGUUCAGCACAACUAACAUCAUAGCCGAGAUAGAGAUCUACAAGACAUCUAAAAACCCAUAAAAUUGAUAAUUGACAUAUGUAAUAUAUAUACCUUUUAUGCUCAUACUUGUUCCCAAAUUCCGAUUUAAAAUAAAAUGAUUGAAAGUGGCCAAACCAGCUCUACCAUGUGAUUCACAACAUGCAACAUAUGUGUACUAUAAUGUUCAAUUUACCAUAUUCUUGGUAGAUGAAAGGGAUGAUAAUAAUUUGUACCUCUAGAUUACGCAGGAUAAAUACUCACUGCAAAAUCAUGUCACUGUGUGAAGGUAACAACUAAUAAUUAUUUGUCAUACAUCAAAAUAAAAAAUACUUGUACCUUCCUUGCCAAUUAUGAUAGAAAAGUAUGUGAUAUAGGGCAAGCUAAACUCAAAGAAAAGAAAGAAAAGGGAUAAGCUAGGCUUCAAACGUAGGGUUCUUAGGUCUCACACCCAAGGAAAAGAUUCAUUCACAUAUUACUCAAAUAAAUCUAUUUAUAGGAUUCCAUAAUCUUUCUAGCACCUUAGAUACACUGGACCUAUCUAAUUAAUGCAUGUAUGACUUUUUGAUGGAUACAGCUCUAAAAUUGAUAAUUGAUAUAUCUAAUAGAUAUAUAUAUAUAUAUAUAUAUAUAUAUAUAUAUAAUAUAUAUAUAUAAUAUAUAUAUACCUUUUAUGCUCAUACUUGUUCCGAAAUUCCGAAUUAAAAUAAAAUGAUUGGAAGUGACCAAACCAGCUCUACCAUGUGAUUCACAUGUAACAUGCAUACUGUAUGUUCAAUUUACCAUAUUCUUAGUAGAUGAAAGGGAUCAGAAUUUGUACCUCAAGAUUCCACAGGAGUGAAGGUAACAGCUAAUAAUAAUUUGUCACAUGUCAAAAUACAAAAUACUUAUACCUACCUUGUCAAUUGUCAUGACCUCUGAAAAGAAGGUAGAUGAGAAGUCUACAUCAAAGCAAAUUCUCAUGUCUAACGUUGACACCUCUCAAUAUGUAAACCCACUCAAGUUGCGAGAAGAUACACAUACCUUGAGUCAAAAACUUAGCUGGCUUUUCCUCGGCUAAAUGAUGAAUAACAAGUUUCGUACAGCAUUGAGUUAUUUUGUCAGUCGAUGUCUCCUACCUGUCAAAUAAUUCAGUACUGCACAAAAUUACUAUUUGUAUACUUUAAACCAUUAGACGUAAAUCAGUGCAGUACACGGACUAAUACAUUCACAUUUUACUGGACAAAAAAAUGCAACAGUUGUGAUAGAAAGGCAUGUGAUGUAGGGAAAGCUAAACAAAAAGGAAUGAAAAAGAAGGAAAAGAGAAAAUGGAUAAAUUAAACUAGGCGUCACACCUAGGGUUCUUAGGCCUCACACCCAAGGAAAAGAUGCAUCACACAUCAAACAAAAUCAAAAAAUUUCAUUCAAAUUAGCUCAAAUAAAUCUAUUAAUAGGAGUCCAUAGCACCAUAGAUACAUUGAAACUAUGUAAUUAAUGCAUCUAUGUGACUUUUUGACUGAAUACAUGCAUUAAUGACCGACACAAAAUACAUAACGCAAUAAUUAAACUGAUAAAUUCUUUAGACCAGCUCUAAAUCAGUGUCCUUCCCGAAAGUAACUGGAGAAUCAAAUCGGCUCCUUCGUUUAUAGUGUUUUCCACACCUCUCAUGCAUUUCUACAUCAGUAUGAGCAUAGAUUAACAAAAGUUAUACAUGUACAAGUGAGCAGAAAGAAAAUAACACCAGGAGAUUGGCCAAAACAUAAAGCUUUUUUGAAUCAAUUAGAGUGAUAGAACUAACACACUUUGUGCAGGGGGGGAGCAAGGGAGUUGAACAGCAAUGUCAACAAAGCAACCUGCUUUGGUCAUGGAGAUGCCACCAGAUGAGAUCUCCUUAGCUUGUUGCUGGCAGAUUUGUUGGGUACUAGUUUUGUUAGGCCUCGUGUCUGAGCUUGUUACUUUCUUGUAUUACAGGGUUAAAAGGAGAAAAUAAUUAAUCAUAAAAGUGAAAUCCUAGUAGAGAUCACAAAGAAACUUAAUCCCAGUAUGGACAUUUAAACUGAAGAUAUUAGUGUUGUUUGUUACUGUUUAAAACCCUGCGGUAACAAAAGGUACUAAGGUCUCCUUUGAAGACUAAGGGGGUGUUUGUUUAGAGCAGAAUGGCUGAAGGAUUGAAUGGCUGAAUCGAUCAGUACGUUUGUUUUGGUCUGAAUGGCUGAAUCGGUAAAAUGGACGAACUGAAUGACCAAGUCAGAAUUUUUUAGCUGAAUGAAGUAAAAAAAAA
This 3354-nucleotide long non-coding RNA is filed under the name Panax ginseng (ginseng). RNAcentral describes it as "long non-coding RNA (PGIN_LNC000427)". Lineage: Eukaryota; Viridiplantae; Streptophyta; Magnoliopsida; Apiales; Araliaceae. The record is from RNAcentral.